Pan troglodytes (chimpanzee) is the source of this 997-nucleotide long non-coding RNA. RefSeq lists it as uncharacterized. The record is from RefSeq and is a predicted model, not a curated record. The transcript has 4 exons. NCBI's taxonomy places the organism in Eukaryota, Metazoa, Chordata, Mammalia, Primates, Hominidae.
AGUGAGGCCGGCGCCCGCCAGUAACAAACAUGGCUCCCUGAAGCCGCUCAGGCUCAAGAGCAACAUGGAGGUCUGCACUUAAUCGCUCCUCUCCGGGGGCGGCCAUACUGAGGAGGCAUCUCUUCCGUGCAGGCAGGCUGUCCUGGGGACCUCAGAGAUUCUCUCCAGCGGCAGCGGAAACUGGGCAAUGGGUGGAUUCGGGUCCAGAUUCUGGCAGGAGGGAGUUUGGGAUCGAGAUCUGGAAAAAAGCACUAGACUGGAAGAGGACGCGAUAGAAUCGGAGCCGCUGGCGGGGACAAAACCAGAGGCCGUGGAAGGCGCCGGUGGGAGGCAAGGCACGGAUGGACUUUACCUGCGCACGCGUCGCAGCCAUCUCCGCGCACAGUGGUGGCCACCGCGACUGGUGCGGAAGUGUCGGCGCGUGCCCGGCGCUCCGCUGGGACCCGGGUUGCUCGCCCUGAGUCUCAGCUUUCUCAUCUGUACGGUUGGGACAAGUACAGUAACCCUCGCCCGUCAAGACGGGCCAGGGCUGUCGCGAGGGUCCACGCCUUAGUGCAGGCAGCAGUAGGGCUGAUUGGAGCCAUUGUACAGUGUCGGGAACAUACCAGCACACUGAGAAUAGCAUCAUGUCAUAAGGACCCAGAGCAGGUGGACCCUGCUGUGAUGCACAAAGAAAUCAGUGGAGCCUAUUCUUCCAAAUAAGCCUUAAAUAUUACUUAUCUCAACUGAGAUUUUGGUGAAAAUUUAGCUUUAGAGCUUUUAUUGACUUGCCAAUGACCUGAAGUUAAGAUUAUUCUUUUCCACCGAAUGAAGACAAACCACCUUAUAAAAAUUAACCCAGAAGGCUGUAGAGGGAUGAAAUGGGAUUUUGUUGGUGCCAAGACCUGAUUGCUUUGCCAGUUACCCUCACCCCUGGCUCAUGAGGAAAGAGUAUUGAGGAGAUUCUCGAGGAACCACAUGAGUUUUAAUAUUAUAAGCUUCUGCCCUGAAUUGAAAG